Molecule: long non-coding RNA, 640 nt
Organism: Daphnia magna
Lineage: Eukaryota; Metazoa; Arthropoda; Branchiopoda; Diplostraca; Daphniidae
Exons: 2
Source: RefSeq, a predicted model, not a curated record
ACGUUUGUAUGUUAGUUCGUUCAAGGUAAGCCGAGAGUGAUUAUUAAGUAUAUUUAUUAUUGCUGCUAUCUGCUGUGUUUGUGUUAGUGAUGGAAUUGUUAUUUUUGUGUGUGCUGCAGCUAGGGAGUUUUAGUGUGUUUAGGGAUCUUCAUUGAUUUAUCAGGGUGAAUUGUUGUUCCUGCUUACGUUUGCUGGGGGUGCGGGGUGGUUUUACUGUCUCCAUGCAAUUGUCGUAGAGGGCAGUGCGCUCCCUGAAUAGGGUUCCUAAAAUCAUUUUGUUUUUCGGUUUUGGUUUGCCAUUCUGCAGUCGUCUUUCUUCCAUUGGUGAUGUUAAUUUGCUACUUCGCACGGCCAUCCCCCCCCACCGUUUCUUCUUUCUCGUUUGCUGAUCGAGUUUGUCCUUUGUUUCAGAGGAAAUUCAUUUCAGUGGUUAGAAUUCCAACCACAUGUGGGCUUUCACCAACACGUCAUCGAGUUUGAAUGAUGCAAUUUUCUGCAUUUACCAAAUACCCAACAACGCAAAGGAUUUCCAAGUAUGUUUUUCCCUUUAUUUCAUUCACGCGUUUUGGUUUUUGUUGAAUACUGUGUCUUAAAUUGAUAUGGAUUCUGUAUUCACAUUAAAAACAAAACACGCAUUUUA